This 628-nucleotide ribosomal RNA is filed under the name Naganishia randhawae. RNAcentral's name for it is "eukaryotic LSU rRNA". The stretch from base 191 to 344 matches the Rfam family "5.8S ribosomal RNA". The record is from RNAcentral. Lineage: Eukaryota; Fungi; Basidiomycota; Tremellomycetes; Filobasidiales; Filobasidiaceae.
UCCGUAGGUGAACCUGCGGAAGGAUCAUUAAUGAAUGCAGAUUCCUGUCGAGCUUGCUCACGGGAUUUCAUCAUAUCCAUAACACCUGUGCACUUGUUGGAUGGUAUAACAGAGCCCUAGAGGCGAAGUUGUCCAUCUAAUUUACACUAAACAAUUUUGUAACAAAUGUAGUCUUAUUAUAACAUAAUAAAACUUUCAACAACGGAUCUCUUGGCUCUCGCAUCGAUGAAGAACGCAGCGAAAUGCGAUAAGUAAUGUGAAUUGCAGAAUUCAGUGAAUCAUCGAAUCUUUGAACGCACCUUGCGCUCCUUGGUAUUCCGAGGAGCAUGCCUGUUUGAGUGUCAUGAAAACCCUCAACCUUAGAUUGGUUAUUUGACCUUUCUUUGGCUUGGAUUUGGACGUUUGCCGAUGAUAAGUCGGCUCGUCUUAAAAGUAAUAGCUGGAUCUGUCUCGCGACAUGGUUUGACUUGGCGUAAUAAGUAUUUCGCUAAGGACAUCUUCGGAUGGCCCUGUUGCAGACUAAAGACCGCUUUCUAAUCCAUUGAUCUUCGGAUUAAUAUUUCAUAACAUCUGGCCUCAAAUCAGGUAGGACUACCCGCUGAACUUAAGCAUAUCAAUAAGCGGAGGA